AUAAUGAUAUGUUUAGAUGUACCUCUAAUUCCACUCAUUGUAUUCAGCACUUGACUUUUUUUCACAUCUCUGAUAAUCUGCUCAUAUUUGAAUUAGGAGACCAAACAGAUGACUGGAAAUCGGUACCAUUGAGGAUUUACUCAAUCGUCUCUAUAGACUAGAUUAUAUUUCGACCUACUAACAUGUACGUUAAUUGAAAACGGAAGGAAUCCUAAACUGCAUUCCUGAGAAAUAAGAUGACUCAGAUUCUUACAGAAUGGUUAGAUAAUUACCUGCAGUUUAAUGUUCUUCCUUGCUGCACAACUAAAGUAGAUGUGAUUUCACCAUCGAGUUCUCCAAGCCUUGGGAUAUUGCCAAUAUUGGUACACAAAAG
This is a long non-coding RNA of Pan troglodytes (chimpanzee), 373 nucleotides long. RefSeq lists it as uncharacterized. Lineage: Eukaryota; Metazoa; Chordata; Mammalia; Primates; Hominidae. The transcript is spliced from 3 exons. The record is from RefSeq and is a predicted model, not a curated record.